CUGAAACAGCAGCAGACUGUAGCAUGCAAAAGUUUCUCUGCGUCACUGAAAAAACAGCAUUCUCGAUGUUUGGUUUAUUGAUAAACUACAGUCAACAGAUGACAGACAAUGACAGCAGGAAUGUGUGCACAAAUACUUUCAUAUUUGAGUGUGUGAGAGAAACUUUGUCAAUGUCUGGUUAAUGUUUUAGUCAAUUGUAAAUAAAUGCUGUAAAGUAACAUCCCACAAUAACUCGAUGUCUUUGUUUAACCACUUUUUACUAAAUAAAACCAGUAUUGAACUACUUUAAAA
Danio rerio (zebrafish) is the source of this 291-nucleotide non-coding RNA. Lineage: Eukaryota; Metazoa; Chordata; Actinopteri; Cypriniformes; Danionidae. The record is from RefSeq and is a predicted model, not a curated record.